GGUUGCCUAGAAAAUCAAAACAGCUGAAGAACGUGGAGAAAAAAUCCAUGGGUUCAGAACCCACGAAGCUGGCGGUUUCCACAAUUUCAGAACCCAUCACCACCAUGUUACUUAUAUUUUCUUCCUCCACUUUACUGGCAUCCUUUUCUGCUUCAGAAACCGAAAUCGCGAGUAACCACAGUGUAAAGACUGAGCAGAUUUCUGUUUCGCUUUCAGCCAAUUACGACUCUGUUUGGAUCUCCUGGGUUACAGGGGAAUCGCAAAUUGGCUACAAGAUAAAGCCAUUGGACCCCAAAAGUGUGGCAAGUGUUGUUCGUUAUGGGAAGCUGAGAUAUCCACCAACGCAUGAAGCAGGAUUAAUCUCUCUCUCUCUCUCUCUCCCUCUCUCUCUCUCUAUCCAGGGGGUUUGGCAUCAUAUAUCAAAACUGCUAGAGAACUCUUAGCCAAUUCAAAAGCUGGAAAGAACCCAUUUGAAGGCUUCACACCUUCUAAAGCGGAAAUUGCCUCGAAAGAGAAAAAUAGGGCAUCUGCUGUUGCACUGAACGCUGAGAUUCGGACGCGCGAUUGCUAGAGGAGGUUCCCAAGUUGCAUAGGUUGGCUGUAAAGGUGACUCGGCUUAAUUCAAGCUAUCCAGGGGGUUUGGCAUCAUA
Molecule: non-coding RNA, 650 nt
Organism: Prunus avium (sweet cherry)
Lineage: Eukaryota; Viridiplantae; Streptophyta; Magnoliopsida; Rosales; Rosaceae
Source: RefSeq, a predicted model, not a curated record